AAGCCGUGGUGUGGGCAUUGGUUAGUGUAGCUUCUAAACCGUUCCCAAGCUUCACAAAAUCUCUCGUUAUUGUGCUGCGUGAAACUUGAGAUCUGAUUCCUGAGCUU
This is a small nucleolar RNA of Eutrema salsugineum, 107 nucleotides long. It matches the Rfam family "Plant small nucleolar RNA R71". Rfam says of the family: R71 is a member of the C/D box family of snoRNAs containing the C (UGAUGA) and D (CUGA) box motifs. Multiple nearly identical copies of this snoRNA have been identified in Arabidopsis, and it is thought to function as a 2'-O-ribose methylation guide for 18S ribosomal RNA. Lineage: Eukaryota; Viridiplantae; Streptophyta; Magnoliopsida; Brassicales; Brassicaceae. The record is from Rfam.